AAUGAUUUUUUUUUUAAUUUUGCUAACUCAAAUUUAAAAAAAUACGAUUUUAAAAGUUUUAUAAUUACAAAAAUAUGGUUUCAGCAAGAAAAAAAAAAUUAAAAACAACUAAGAAUCAUCUAGAAAAUAAUUUGACAACAAUCCACUACAAAAACAACACAAAAAACAAUAUACACUAGAAAACAACUUGUCAGCAAUUCACUAUAUCAACCUAAAAUAAAUUUAAAAAAAUAACUAAAAUAACAUAGAACAAUACACAUUAGAACAAAUAAACAUCAACAUUAAUGUAGGAUCUUUUUUACUGAAAGUGAUUUGACCCUACACCAACUCAGAAGAUUACUUUAAAAUAUCAAGGUCAAAAUGACAUUUCCCAAAGACUAAAUACACUUACUGCUCAAUAAAGUGAAACGUUACACACAAAUCAAUAAUACCCUAUUAUUUAAUAUUGCCUUUUUUGUAUUCAGAUACUAUAUUAGAUCUUUUUUCUUUUUCUUCUUUCCUUAACACAAAAACAUUUUCUGAGAUUUAUGGUUAGGGAAAAAAACCAGAGAACAAUAUAUUCAGAGAAAAGAAAAACAAAUCAGAGAUGCAAGAUGAGAGUGGAGGGAAAAUGAAAAACAAACACAGUGAUUUAUCGAGGUUCGACCCAAAUCUGGAGUACUUCCUCGUUGAGCUCGCCUCAGGGAUGCAGCUCUGUUCUUCCACUAAUCAAUCAAAGGUUCUGUACAGCAAUGGAGGAUCCAAGUCAUAGAUUGACUGGUUCUCUCUUUCUCUCUCAAGAUCUGGAAACACACUAUUGGAACAGGAGCUUCUCUCUCUAAGAUCUAGCCUUAUCUUUUGGAUGAUAUGAUUUUCUGAAUCCCUUUCCUCUUAUUUAUAUAUAUUUCUGUAGAGAUGCAUAUCUGUGAGAAGUUUGUUGAGACUGUUGUGUUGAGCUGAGUUUCUGGUAAAAUAAACUUGCCUUGAUGUAAUUAUCUUGAUUUGAGUAACUAUGUUCUUGAUU
Long non-coding RNA from Humulus lupulus (European hop), 1003 nucleotides. RefSeq lists it as uncharacterized. NCBI's taxonomy places the organism in Eukaryota, Viridiplantae, Streptophyta, Magnoliopsida, Rosales, Cannabaceae. The record is from RefSeq and is a predicted model, not a curated record. The transcript has 2 exons.